AACGUGGGUCUUGACGGCAUAUAAGUUUUGCCCAAACAAUGCAGUUCCUGAAGAUGUCUGAGAAACCUCGCAGGAGCAAGGCGGGCCGCUAGGGUGGUUGGGGUCAGCCGUAGGGAUAGGGUCCGGGGGAGGAGCCGGCGGUUUUUUUGCCGGGUUCACCGCGACACCUUAAGUCAGCAGGGGCAACGCGGAGAAGAGGACGGAUGCAUGGCCACAGGUACGGUGAAAUGGUUUAACGACGCGAAGGGUUAUGGAUUCAUUACGCCCGACGACGGCGGGGAAGACUUAUUCGCACAUUUUUCUGCAAUCCAGAUCGGAGGCUUCAAGACGCUAAAGGAAGGCCAGAAGGUUGCCUUCGAGAUCGUGCAGGGUCCGAAGGGCAAACAGGCAUCGAACAUAACGCCCAACGCCUGAGUGCUAGCGCCGCCGUGCGCCGGAAAAAGCCCCGUCCAGCGGGGCUUUUUCAUU
RNAcentral lists this unclassified non-coding RNA (468 nucleotides) under Burkholderiales bacterium. RNAcentral describes it as "cspA". The record is from RNAcentral. Lineage: Bacteria; Pseudomonadati; Pseudomonadota; Betaproteobacteria; Burkholderiales.